Molecule: long non-coding RNA, 1533 nt
Filed under: Zea mays
Lineage: Eukaryota; Viridiplantae; Streptophyta; Magnoliopsida; Poales; Poaceae
Description: long non-coding RNA (ZMAY_LNC004519)
Source: RNAcentral
UGCUGUGCUCAUGCCAUGGCAUUAUUCUCGCAAUGAAGCAAUGGAGAGGCGUGUCCUUUUUGGCCAUUUCUGACCCUGUGAGCUCAUGCAAAAGAGCAAGACAAGAUCGGGGCGAGAAAAUGUGUGCUUGCCACUACCUUUAUUGUUGAUGUGCAUAUGUUCCUUCCCUCCUGAGUCCUGACUCCUGUCAUGGUCAUUGCGUAAGUGCAUCCUGUUGUUUAAUAAUACCCUUUGCUCCUCACUGUUGUAUGAUGCCUACCUGAUUGUGACGGUGAUAUUUCGGUUAGGUGUCACUUGGAGUGGGGACUUAGGCCCUGUUUGUUUCCUCCUAGGAUUAUAUAAUCCAGCUUAUUAAUUACAUAAGCACCUUAUGAUCUACUUAUGGAUUAUCAUAACCUAUGCAUAUAGAUUAUAUAAUCCAUCUAAUAAUCUAUGUUGUUUGUUUGCCUUUUAACUUAUUUAAGCUGUAUUAUAUAAUCUAGAGGGUAAACAAACAGGGCCUUAAUCACUAGAGACAUCGACAAGCAGUCUCUUUGAAAAUUAUUCAGUUUCUGGGUGGAAUUCUGAUGUUGGACAUUUAGAACACAAGGAGAUAUCAGUUUUAGUGCACCCGCAUUCCGAGACAGUGACAAAGGGGUUUGUUUGAAAAUUAUUCAGGUUUUGGGUGGGAUUCUGGUGUGUGUUGAGGGAUUAAAGAGGAUAUCAUUUCUUUCUGCAACUUAGGCCCUGUUUGGAAACACCUAGUUUUUAAGAAACUGUUUUAUAGAAAUUGAGGUCGUUCCAAACAUACUAGUUUAUGACUCAGUUUAUAGAAAUUAGAUGCUCAGUUUUUUUAAAAAACCAAUAAGCUGGCCUCUUCUAGCUUAAAGAUAAAAACUGGUUUCUUAAAAACUGGGUUGCUUCCAAACAGGGCCUUAGUCACAUUCUUCUGUUUAUAAGACAUGCUUUGCAGCUACAGUUUAGUUCAUCCUGUUUGCAGCAUUUACGGUUGUUCAUUUGAUCUUGCACUGGCUGUACUGCUCAAUUAAUUAGCUUGUAAAUGAGAAACUGCCAUGGUUGGUUUGCGGUUUCGUUGAAAAAUUAUUCAGGUUUUUGGAUGCUAUUCCGUUCUAGAGCUUCCAGAAUCCAAGGAGAUAUUGUUUUCCCUGCAUCCCUGUUUUGGACUAUAAGACGUACUUUGUGGUUGUCGUUUAGUUAAUCGCUUUUCUAUUCGGUAUUCAUUUCAUCGCGUUCCAGCUGUAACGCUUAACUAGAUUGCACUAACUGAGAAACUGAUGUAGUUGUUUGCUGUUUGUUUUCAAAUUAUUCAGUUUUUGAGUGGUAUUCUGAUGUCAAACUUCCAGAAUUCAAGGAUAUAUUCUUCGCAUUCCUUUUGUCACAUUUUUUCUGUUUUUAUGACAUGCUUUGCGGUUGUUGUUUAGUUCAUUCUGUGUGUAGCAUUUAACACCAUUCAUUCCGUUGUGCACAGACUGUAACACAAAAGAAAAAGAUUGUAACUGAGAAACUGCCAUAGCGGUUUCUGCUGGCACAUUG